Molecule: long non-coding RNA, 343 nt
Filed under: Rattus norvegicus (Norway rat)
Lineage: Eukaryota; Metazoa; Chordata; Mammalia; Rodentia; Muridae
Description: long non-coding RNA NONRATT032538
Source: RNAcentral
AGGGAAUUGAAGGAAAGACUUUUUCUGGUGAACAGGGGCUGGAAAAUGUCCUUGGCUUCCUCGAGCACUAAUGUCCAUUAAUCAGGACAAUAGCUAUAGGUCUGUAGUUCUCACCAAGGACAUCUGGACACAUCUGAACACAAUUUGUUGAGCCCUUCCAGAAACUGCCUCAUAGACACCAUCCUGUCACGCUGAGAUUGCCAUGAACUGUCGCACCAACCGAAAGGAAGGAGUCAAACAAGAAAGUCUCUGCUGUGGAAAUCUGGCCACCACACAACUUCCUGGUUGCUGGCUAGAGAUCACGGAAGGAGCUGGCUGUCGAGACAUCUCAUGUGAAAACUGA